CCUACGGGCGGCAGCAGUGGGGAAUAUUGCACAAUGGGGGAAACCCUGAUGCAGCGACGCCGCGUGAGUGAAGAAGUAUUUCGGUAUGUAAAGCUCUAUCAGCAGGGAAGAAAAUGACGGUACCUGUUUAAGAAGCCCCGGCUAACUACGUGCCAGCAGCCGCGGUAAUACGUAGGGGACAAGCGUUAUCCGGAUUUACUGGGUGUAAAGGGAGCGUAGACGGCAGCACAAGUCUGGAGUGAAAUGCCGGGGCUUAACCCCGGAACUGCUUUGGAAACUGUGCAGCUAGAGUGCAGGAGAGGUAAGUGGAAUUCCUAGUGUAGCGGUGAAAUGCGUAGAUAUUAGGAGGAACACCAGUGGCGAAGGCGGCUUACUGGACUGUAACUGACGUUGAGGCUCGAAAGCGUGGGGAGCAAACAGGAUUAGAUACCCCAGUAGUC
Molecule: ribosomal RNA, 440 nt
Filed under: uncultured bacterium
Lineage: Bacteria
Description: partial 16S ribosomal RNA
Rfam family: Bacterial small subunit ribosomal RNA
Source: RNAcentral